CCUACGGGAGGCAGCAGUGGGGAAUAUUGGGCAAUGGAGGCAACUCUGACCCAGCAACGCCGCGUGAAUGAUGAAGGUCUUCGGAUUGUAAAGUUCUUUUCUAAGGGAAGAAGAAAGUGACGGUACCUUAGUAAUAAGCCUCGGCUAACUACGUGACAGCAGCCGCGGUAAUACGUAGGAGGCAAGCGUUAUCCGGAAUGACUGGGCGUAAAGGGUGCGUAGGUGGUUCAGCAAGUUAGUAGCGUAACUCCGGGGCUCAACCUCGGCACUACUACUAAAACUGUUGGACUUGAGUGCAGGAGGGGCAAGUGGAAGUCGUGGUGUAGCGGUGGAAUGCGUAGAUAUUAGGAGGAACACCAGUGGCGAAGGCGAGUUGCUGGACUGUAACUGACACUGAGGCACGAAAGCGUGGGGAGCAAACAGGAUUAGAUACCCGGGUAGUC
Molecule: ribosomal RNA, 443 nt
Filed under: uncultured bacterium
Lineage: Bacteria
Description: partial 16S ribosomal RNA
Rfam family: Bacterial small subunit ribosomal RNA
Source: RNAcentral